AGCUCCAAUAGCGUAUAUUAAAGUUGUUGCGGUUAAAAAGCUCGUAGUUGGAUUUCUGCUGAGGACGAUCGGUCCGCCCUCUGGGUGAGUAUCUGGCUCGGCCUUGGCAUCUUCUUGGAGAACGUUGCUGCACUUGACUGUGUGGCGCGGUGUCCAGGACUUUUACUUUGAGGAAAUUAGAGUGUUUCAAGCAGGCGCACGCCUUGAAUACGUUAGCAUGGAAUAAUAAGAUAGGACCUCGGUUCUAUUUUGUUGGUUUCUAGAGCUGAGGUAAUGAUUAAUAGGGAUAGUUGGGGGCAUUCGUAUUUAAUUGUCAGAGGUGAAAUUCUUGGAUCUAUUAAAGACGAACUACUGCGAAAGCAUUUGCCAAGGAUGUUUUCA
Molecule: ribosomal RNA, 381 nt
Filed under: uncultured eukaryote
Lineage: Eukaryota
Description: SSU rRNA
Rfam family: Eukaryotic small subunit ribosomal RNA
Source: RNAcentral